UCGUCUUCCAAUGCCAUAAGCCCUUGUUUUGAAGUUACGAACCGUCUUUCCAGUAAGUACGUCGAUUUUUAAAGUUACUGUGCACUAGUUUUUGACAUAUGGUUUCAGUUUAGCUUCAACCUAGGAUUUCAGUUCUCACUUGUUACAUUGUACUGAUAUCUAAUUAGGGAUGCAUCAUUUUGCUUCUCAGGAAGCUAAGGUUGCUUACACCGGGGAGAACCAUCUGCGCCGAGAAAGUGAAAAAUGGGAAAAUGUUGCUUCCUCGUUAUAGUGAUCAUGUCAGUUUAUGACCUUUGUUUUCCAAUUAACUUUGGUUGGCUCAGAUCAACAUAAACAUAGCUUGGCAUAGCUGAGAAAUGAAGGCUUUACCUUACUAGUAGAAAAUAAAGGAUUAUCUAAUGAUGAUUGAUGAUAAUGGUAGUAGUAACAAUAAUAUUUGAUAGAGCCAUGAAACAAAAUGUCAAUAUUGUACUAUGUCUCUUCAUUGAUUAUAUACC
This 497-nucleotide long non-coding RNA is filed under the name Medicago truncatula (barrel medic). RNAcentral's name for it is "long non-coding RNA (MTRU_LNC007651)". Lineage: Eukaryota; Viridiplantae; Streptophyta; Magnoliopsida; Fabales; Fabaceae. The record is from RNAcentral.